AUCUUUAGAGACAUUCUGUUGCUGGACCAACUUGCUCCUUAGCCUGCUUCAACGACUGCUAAGCCAAGUGUUAUGGGAUAUGGAGAUCUUCUUCCGGUAUCUUUGAAGUAGGCUAAUGUGCAUGUUGGUCCAGUUGAAUUGGAUGCACUACAAGAAAACCUCAGUAAUGAUAUUUUUGCAGAAAACCCCAAUUGUCACUGCCUCCAGCUUCCUGAAAGGUCGAUCACGAUAUUUCUGGAACUACUCUUUUGUUUUUGAUAGGGUUUUAAGAUCUGCUGUUACCUGUUUGACAACCAGCCCACUCCACUGACAAGGUUUGAUCUAUUUCUUUAGAAGAAACCCUAAAUCUAUAUUUUCUAGUUAUGCUCAAAGUUGGACUAUAUUUGUCUUAUAUUCAAGAGUUAGAGAAGGCCACAAACCUCUUUCUGAGAGAGGAAAUUCCAUCGUGGGAUAUUGAUGUAAGCAUAGCGUCUCCCUUUUUUUUUCUCUCAUGUCACACUAUAUUCUUUAACACACAAGAAAGUAACAUAUCACAGUAGAACCUCUAUAAAUUAAUACUCGAUAAAUUAAUAUUUUCUAAACUAAUAA
This is a long non-coding RNA of Brassica oleracea var. oleracea, 588 nucleotides long. RefSeq lists it as uncharacterized. The record is from RefSeq and is a predicted model, not a curated record. The transcript has 3 exons. NCBI's taxonomy places the organism in Eukaryota, Viridiplantae, Streptophyta, Magnoliopsida, Brassicales, Brassicaceae.